CCUCAAAGUCCACCUGUCAUGACCUGACGUAACCCCGACGUAAGGACGUACAGGUGGUCCUCUCAGGUUUUCCGGGGUUCACGCUCCGUGGGUUCAACACGCCGAGAUUUACUGAAGACCAGAACUUUAUCAGACCCCGGAGCGAACCGGGACAACGGUUCUGAGUCCAAAUCCAGGUGAGCUGCAGGAUCAGGACGACAGAGACCAGGACCGGGUUCAGCUUCUGCUCCGAGUUCGGAUUACUGUGAAAGUGGACCUGCUGGACACCUCAGAGAAAAACGGAUUAAUGGGGACGUUUCCGGUCCGGAUUGAAGCAGGUUCGGAUGAAGAUCGACAGGUGAGCCAAGACCAGCAAGAGGUGAGUGUGCGCGCGCGCGCGUGUGCAGAAGUAGAACCGGAUCUGUUCUGAUGGGGGACAGGGGUCCAGUCCAGGGGAAACUUCAGGAGUUCAGAUGUUCUCAGAGUUCCGGUUUUUGUUCAUGUCUGAGUGAUGAAGUUUAAUUUAGACUGAGAUCAUCUCUGAGAUCAUCUCCUCUGUGAUUUUAACCCUUUCAUUCAUUAACUAUCAGGUCUGCAGAUUUUAUUCCUCUUAUAAAAAACUGUCAUUUAAAUUUUUGUCAAGAAUCUAUUUUUCAUGGAGUCACAAAAAUGUCCGUUCAGCAGGACACCGUAAAGAUAAAACAUGAAUUUAACAAACAGACUAGAGAAAACGAUCUUCUGAUAAAACUGUGAUGUGAAAACCUUUUCAGUUCAGCUCAUUUAACGUCGUCUUAGAUUUGAACACAUUUUCAAAACGUUGACCUUCGCUCUGAACUCAUGAACUGCAGAUUUCUUCUCCAGAAAGUUGAAUUUAGACCGAAAUCAUCUCUACUUUUCUGUGAUUUUAAAGUUUCAGUUUUUAAAAUCUCAACAAGAACUGUUUAGAUCAGGGUUCAAGCUGGGCCCCCCUCAAAGAUGGUUCAGUGCAGGUGGAUUAUAAACCUGCUGGAGCUGGAUGACUUCACCUGAGUUUAGCUUCAGAUGUUCAGACUGUUCAGAGAGAUUCACUUGUAACAGAAACAGAUCUGUUCGUGUUUCUGAGGUCGUCCUGUCUUGUUUUUCUCAUUCUUUGAUUGAAAGUCUUUUAACGUUCUCUCUUAUUAUCAGUAAAAAGGACAGAAACAGUCUGAACCAGAUCGUCAAAGUCUGCUCCAGAAUCACCAGAGUUCUUCUUCUGAUGGACCGGAGCUCUCUCUGGGAGGAACGAGAGGUCCAGUCGUGUUGUGUCGUUCAUGAACGAUUCGUUUAAAAGAACCGAAUCAGAUCUCCGUUAAACGGCGGUGUGGUGUCAUGAGCUGCUGUGAAAUCUGGUGAACACAGGUGUGUCU
Molecule: non-coding RNA, 1367 nt
Organism: Xyrichtys novacula (pearly razorfish)
Lineage: Eukaryota; Metazoa; Chordata; Actinopteri; Labriformes; Labridae
Source: the annotation of a GenBank genome assembly